UUCUUAUCAAGAGAGGUGGAGGGACUUGGCCCUAGGAUACCUCAGCAACAGGCAUUUUUGCACUGUGCUAAUUCCAAAAGCUUUUAGGCUUGAAGAUAAGAA
This 102-nucleotide non-coding RNA is filed under the name Psychrobacillus sp. FJAT-21963. Its description in RNAcentral is "SAM riboswitch aptamer (S box leader)". It matches the Rfam family "SAM riboswitch aptamer (S box leader)". From Rfam's summary of the family: The SAM riboswitch is found upstream of a number of genes which code for proteins involved in methionine or cysteine biosynthesis in Gram-positive bacteria. The record is from Rfam by way of RNAcentral. Lineage: Bacteria; Bacillati; Bacillota; Bacilli; Caryophanales; Bacillaceae. RNAcentral also lists the same sequence under 1 other name.